RNAcentral lists this ribosomal RNA (474 nucleotides) under Granulicatella sp. canine oral taxon 095. RNAcentral describes it as "bacterial SSU rRNA". It matches the Rfam family "Bacterial small subunit ribosomal RNA", at positions 9 to 468 of the family's 1533-position model. Lineage: Bacteria; Bacillati; Bacillota; Bacilli; Lactobacillales; Carnobacteriaceae. The record is from RNAcentral.
GAGUUUGAUUCUGGCUCAGGACGAACGCUGGCGGCGUGCCUAAUACAUGCAAGUCGAACGAACGGAGAAAGAAGCUUGCUUUUUUCAAAGUUAGUGGCGAACGGGUGAGUAACACGUGGGUAACCUGCCCAUCAGAGGGGGAUAACAUUCGGAAACGGAUGCUAAAACCGCAUAGGUUCCUUAGUUGCAUGACUGAGGAAGGAAAAGAGGCGUAAGCUUCUGCUGGUGGAUGGACCCGCGGUGCAUUAGCUAGUUGGUGAGGUAACGGCUCACCAAGGCGAUGAUGCAUAGCCGACCUGAGAGGGUGAUCGGCCACAUUGGGACUGAGACACGGCCCAAACUCCUACGGGAGGCAGCAGUAGGGAAUCUUCCGCAAUGGACGCAAGUCUGACGGAGCAACGCCGCGUGAGUGAAGAAGGUUUUCGGAUCGUAAAACUCUGUUGUUAGAGAAGAAUAAGCAUAAUAGUAACUGAU